GGCCAGCGCCUCCAUGCGUCUCGGGGGAGAACCCUAGCCACCACCCCUUCCCUUCCCUAACUCCUCCCUGUCUCGCCGCCGCCGCCGGAGGGCGUGCCGGGGCGAAGCUACGGCCAUCCCCAAGGAGGGCGACGACGGGGCACCUGGUUUGUGUCGGCUUGGCACGGGCGCGCGGCAAACGCUUGGUGCAGCAGCGUUGAGGCACGAACUACGUUGCCGCAGGAGGGUCGCCGACACGAGUUGCUGGCUUGCUGCCUGGCUUAACGAUGACGCGGGCAGGGCACCAUGGUGCUAUCUGACCCCCUGCCUUGCUUCCGCCGGAUGCGGGCUCUCUCCACUCCUCAUGCAUCCGCCGUGUUGGUCCAAGCAGAGGACGAAGUCCAGCCCUUGCCAACAAGCUCAUAAUGAUUUCAGAAGUACGGUCUAAUGGAAGGGUGGAGGAAGAUUUUUGAAAUGGCAAAGUCGUCAGCAAGGACAUGAGACAAGAGGUCUGACCGAACUACGUCAGUCAACUACGUCAGGUGCACCUUGACCUUCUGCCUGAGCAGAUGAACUAGCCACUGCCCUGGAUGUUGUGUCGUCCUCCAGUCCCGCUCUGCUGCUUCUGACCAAACACCUCAAACCAAGACUGAUUGCUCUAUUAUUGUGAUCGGUCAAUACAAUAUUGGUAUAUAUGUCUUGUAUAGUGCCCUUUUGCAUUAGUUUUCUUAUAUUUGCGGAGUGUGCAAAUGAGUUUCUUCUUACCUUUACUCAUUAAUAAUAGUAGUGAGCGAUUC
This is a long non-coding RNA of Triticum dicoccoides, 776 nucleotides long. RefSeq lists it as uncharacterized. The transcript is spliced from 3 exons. The record is from RefSeq and is a predicted model, not a curated record. Lineage: Eukaryota; Viridiplantae; Streptophyta; Magnoliopsida; Poales; Poaceae.